ACGAGGGGGGCAAAUGUUGUUCGGAAUCACUGGGCGUAAAGGGAGCGUAGGCGGGUUCUUAAGUUAGGUGUUUAAUCCCGGGGCCCAACCCCGGACCGGCACUUAAAACUGGGAAUCUUGAAUAGUGGAGAGGUCGGUGGAAUUGGGGGUGUAGCGGUGGAAUGCGUAGAGAUCCCCAAGAACACCAGUUGCGAAGGCGGCCGACUGGACACAUAUUGACGCUGAGGCUCGAAAGCAUGGGGAGCAAACAGGA
RNAcentral lists this ribosomal RNA (253 nucleotides) under uncultured prokaryote. RNAcentral describes it as "partial 16S ribosomal RNA". It matches the Rfam family "Bacterial small subunit ribosomal RNA", at positions 525 to 777 of the family's 1533-position model. The record is from RNAcentral.